Molecule: ribosomal RNA, 444 nt
Filed under: uncultured bacterium
Lineage: Bacteria
Description: bacterial SSU rRNA
Rfam family: Bacterial small subunit ribosomal RNA
Source: RNAcentral
AACGAACGCUGGCGGCAUGCCUAACACAUGCAAGUCGAACGAGACCUUCGGGUCUAGUGGCGCACGGGUGCGUAACGCGUGGGAAUCUGCCCUUGGGUUCGGAAUAACAGUUAGAAAUGACUGCUAAUACCGGAUAAUGUCUUCGGACCAAAGAUUUAUCGCCCAGGGAUGAGCCCGCGUAGGAUUAGCUAGUUGGUGAGGUAAAGGCUCACCAAGGCGACGAUCCUUAGCUGGUCUGAGAGGAUGAUCAGCCACACUGGGACUGAGACACGGCCCAGACUCCUACGGGAGGCAGCAGUGGGGAAUAUUGGACAAUGGGCGAAAGCCUGAUCCAGCAAUGCCGCGUGAGUGAUGAAAGCCUUCGGGUUGUAAAGCCCUUUCGGCGGGGACGAUGAUGACGGUACCCGCAGAAGAAGCCCCGGCUAACUUCGUGCCAGCAGCCGC